This 261-nucleotide long non-coding RNA is filed under the name Helianthus annuus (common sunflower). RNAcentral describes it as "sRNA HanXRQr2_Chr01g0008851". The record is from RNAcentral. Lineage: Eukaryota; Viridiplantae; Streptophyta; Magnoliopsida; Asterales; Asteraceae.
UUUGGUUAUUACACAUGUUAAGAAGGAACUUGGUCUUGCAUUCAAGGGUAGUCAAAAGAUGGUGACUGAAGCACCAGAGGGACCAGGAUAAGAAAGUGUGGUGUUUGGACUUGACAUCUCUAUUCACACUUCCCGUCGAUUAGUUGCCAAGGGGGCCUUGGAGCGUGUUUUCAAGGCAACACACGAGCAGUUUGUCGCCUAAGGAUCAAGUAGCAUGUGUUAUUUUUGUAUUUUGUCGUUCAGUGAGUUGUUUUAGCUUUU